This 404-nucleotide ribosomal RNA is filed under the name uncultured bacterium. Its description in RNAcentral is "bacterial SSU rRNA". It matches the Rfam family "Bacterial small subunit ribosomal RNA", at positions 355 to 775 of the family's 1533-position model. The record is from RNAcentral.
UAAGGAAUCUUCCACAAUGGACGAAAGUCUGAUGGAGCAACGCCGCGUGCAGGAUGACGGCCUUCGGGUUGUAAACUGCUUUUAUAUGGGAAGAUUAUGACGGUACCAUAUGAAUAAGGACCGGCUAACUACGUGCCAGCAGCCGCGGUAAUACGUAGGGUCCAAGCGUUAUCCGGAAUCACUGGGCGUAAAGCGUGCGUAGGCGGAUGUUUAAGUGAGACGUGAAAUCCUGUGGCACAACCAUAUGGACUGUAUCUCAUACUGGAUAUCUAGAGGAUGGCAGAGGCAAGUGGAAUUACCGGUGUAGCAGUGAAAUGCGUAGAUAUCGGUAGGAACACCAAUGGCGAAGGCAGCUUGCUGGGCCAUUUCUGACGCUAAGGCACGAAAGCGUGGGGAGCGAACAG